UGGGGAAUAUUGCACAAUGGGCGCAAGCCUGAUGCAGCGACGCCGCGUGAAGGAAGAAGAUUUUCGGAUUGUAAACUUCUAUCAGCAGGGAAGAUAAUGACAGUACCUGACUAAGAAGCCCCGGCUAACUACGUGCCAGCAGCCGCGGUAAUACGUAGGGGGCAAGCGUUAUCCGGAUUUACUGGGUGUAAAGGGUGUGUAGGCGGCUUGAUAAGUCAGAUGUGAAAGCCCGUGGCUCAACCACGGGACUGCAUUUGAAACUGUCAAGCUAGAGUACAGGAGAGGCAAGUGGAAUUCCUAGUGUAGCGGUAAAAUGCGUAGAUAUUAGGAGGAACACCGGUGGCGAAGGCGACUUGCUGGACUGUAACUGACGCUGAGGCACGAAAGCGUGGGGAGCAAACA
This 402-nucleotide ribosomal RNA is filed under the name uncultured Eubacteriales bacterium. RNAcentral describes it as "uncultured Clostridiales bacterium partial 16S ribosomal RNA". It matches the Rfam family "Bacterial small subunit ribosomal RNA", at positions 355 to 774 of the family's 1533-position model. Lineage: Bacteria; Bacillati; Bacillota; Clostridia; Eubacteriales. The record is from RNAcentral.